GAUGAAGAACGUAGCGAAAUGCGAUAAGUAGUGUGAAUUGCAGAAUUCAGUGAAUCAUCGAAUCUUUGAACGCACAUUGCGCCCCUUGGUAUUCCAUGGGGCAUGCCUGUUCGAGCGUCAUUUGUACCUUCAAGCUUUGCUUGGUGUUGGGUGUUUGUCUUGCCUUUGCGUGUAGACUCGCCUUAAAAUAAUUGGCAGCCGGCGUAUUGAUUUCGGAGCGCAGUACAUCUCGCGCUUUGCACUCAUAACGACAGCGUCCAAAAGUACAUUUUACACUCUUGACCUCGGAUCAGGUAGGGAUACCCGCUGAACUUAAGCAUAUCAAUAAGCGGAGGA
This 336-nucleotide unclassified non-coding RNA is filed under the name soil metagenome. RNAcentral describes it as "partial contains 5.8S ribosomal RNA, internal transcribed spacer 2, and large subunit ribosomal RNA". The stretch from base 1 to 120 matches the Rfam family "5.8S ribosomal RNA", at positions 35 to 154 of the family's 154-position model. The record is from RNAcentral.